UAGAGUUUGAUCAUGGCUCAGAUUGAACGCUGGCGGCAGGCCUAACACAUGCAAGUCGAGCGGAAACGACAACAUUGAAUCUUCGGAGGAUUUGUUGGGCGUCGAGCGGCGGACGGGUGAGUAAUGCCUAGGAAAUUGCCUUGAUGUGGGGGAUAACCAUUGGAAACGAUGGCUAAUACCGCAUAAUGCCUACGGGCCAAAGAGGGGGACCUUCGGGCCUCUCGCGUCAAGAUAUGCCUAGGUGGGAUUAGCUAGUUGGUGAGGUAGUGGCUCACCAAGGCGACGAUCCCUAGCUGGUCUGAGAGGAUGAUCAGCCACACUGGAACUGAGACACGGUCCAGACUCCUACGGGAGGCAGCAGUGGGGAAAAUUGCACAAUGGGCGAAAGCCUGAUGCAGCCAUGCCGCGUGUAUGAAGAAGGCCUUCGGGUUGUAAAGUACUUUCAGUUGUGAGGAAGGGUGUGUAGUUAAUAGCUGCGCAUCUUGACGUUAGCAACAGAAGAAGCACCGGCUAACUCCGUGCCAGCAGCCGCGGUAAUACGGAGGGUGCGAGCGUUAAUCGGAAUUACUGGGCGUAAAGCGCAUGCAGGUGGUUCAUUAAGUCAGAUGUGAAAGCCCGGGGCUCAACCUCGGAACUGCAUUUGAAACUGGUGAACUAGAGUGCUGUAGAGGGGGGUAGAAUUUCA
RNAcentral lists this ribosomal RNA (685 nucleotides) under uncultured Vibrionaceae bacterium. RNAcentral's name for it is "bacterial SSU rRNA". It matches the Rfam family "Bacterial small subunit ribosomal RNA", at positions 1 to 671 of the family's 1533-position model. The record is from RNAcentral. Lineage: Bacteria; Pseudomonadati; Pseudomonadota; Gammaproteobacteria; Vibrionales; Vibrionaceae.